UAUAAGACAAUGAUGAUUAAAUUUCAGCUUAUGCCAGUUCUGCUUCAGAAAAUUCGUGAUAGAAAAAGCUAUCUAGUGUUCUGAGCUAAAA
Beta vulgaris subsp. vulgaris (sugar beet) is the source of this 91-nucleotide non-coding RNA. The record is from Rfam. NCBI's taxonomy places the organism in Eukaryota, Viridiplantae, Streptophyta, Magnoliopsida, Caryophyllales, Amaranthaceae.